UGGGGAAUUUUGGACAAUGGGGGAAACCCUGAUCCAGCCAUCCCGCGUGUGCGAUGAAGGCCUUCGGGUUGUAAAGCACUUUUGGCAGGAAAGAAACGUCAUGGGUUAAUACCCCGUGAAACUGACGGUACCUGCAGAAUAAGCACCGGCUAACUACGUGCCAGCAGCCGCGGUAAUACGUAGGGUGCAAGCGUUAAUCGGAAUUACUGGGCGUAAAGCGUGCGCAGGCGGUUCGGAAAGAAAGAUGUGAAAUCCCAGAGCUCAACUUUGGAACUCCAUUUUUAACUCCCUGGCUAGCGUGUGUCAGAGGGCGGUUGACUUCCGCGUGUAGCAGUUCCCUGCGUAGCUAUUCGGAGGAACACCGCUGGCGAAGGCAGCCUCCUGGGAUAACACUGACGCUCAUGCACGAAAGCGUGGCGAGCAAACAGG
Molecule: ribosomal RNA, 429 nt
Filed under: Acidobacteriota bacterium
Lineage: Bacteria; Pseudomonadati; Acidobacteriota
Description: Acidobacteria bacterium partial 16S ribosomal RNA
Rfam family: Bacterial small subunit ribosomal RNA
Source: RNAcentral